Non-coding RNA from Macaca mulatta (Rhesus monkey), 3185 nucleotides. NCBI's taxonomy places the organism in Eukaryota, Metazoa, Chordata, Mammalia, Primates, Cercopithecidae. The record is from RefSeq and is a predicted model, not a curated record.
GGGUCUCAGCUGGGUGGGCCUGCGCAUGCGGCCUUCUUCACAGGAGCUCUCCCCGCCGGAGGAGCUGGAUGUGUACUGUGAGAGAGAGAGCAGUUAACGUGGCGACCCUGUCAUGGCAGUUUCCCCGGGAGCCCAGCUGUGUGUGGCAGGUGGUGGAGGCCCCUGACCGGACGCGGGCUACUGACGGCCACCCUGGUUGACCUCCCACAUGUGGGCCACUCAGGGGGUGCCAUGCCAGCGUGCCCAGUCUCACAUCACCGUUGCAUUUGGGAAGGGGAAGCCCUGUGUGGCACACUGGGGAAGCAGAAGCUGCUCAGGAAAGGAGGUGACCAUCCAGGCCCCGCCUCACCAGCUAAGGGCUGCUGGGUCACCAGUGUUUGGCACCCUGUGCCAUGGAACACUGGUUAGGAAGCACUAUUUAAAGAUAAAAAAGGUACAAAACGGAGAAGGAGAAAAAAAGGCCCCCACAUCAGCAGCUGCCCCUGCCACUGAGUGGCCGCGAUCACGACAGUUUCCUCAAAUACUGGUCACCCUGCCACUGUCCUGGCUUGGCCUCCGCCUGAGAAAAUGAGCCCAGUGAUUUCUAGCAGACUCGGUAUCAUCCAGGAACCACUGACUGCCAGGACAAAAGCAGCAGCCAGGGAAUGACUCCUGGACAUGCAGCAGGGGAGAGGCCCUGAGAGCAGGGAGCUGAGAAUACUCUGGCGCCAACCCUGUGAGGGACACAGUCUCCAUCUACACAGGACCAAGGCAGUGCAUGAGAAACACAGUAUUUUCCAUCCCUCCAGUGUUUUUCCUCUUGAGGUAGCAAUCCAUUUAUAAUCUAAAAGCGGACCAAGUGCUUCUGGUCAGGGGUCCAGGCUGGGUGACCGGGGCCAGCACCAGGUGUGGGGAGGGGACAUGACUUUGUAUCAGCCCCAAGGUUUCCCUGCCCCAAAGUGGACCCUGAGCCACGUGCUGUCAGCUCCAAGUCGCAUCUCCUGAUGCUGAGGGAUUGGCAACAUUGAUUUGGCUUUUUCUGACUCCGUUCCAGGGCACAGCUCCAAAGACUCCCUCAUCCACCACACCCCGCUGUGACUCCUUACCUUCGUCUUCUUUUUCUUCAUCCUCAAGACUCGCGAUGCAAUCUGGAUGGUGGACAAGGUCUCUGCGUAGCUCCCGGCCGCGGCCGAGAUGUGUGCGAUCAUGGUGGUACGGCAGUUCAUGUUCCCCAGAGACUCCCGCAGCAACAUGGCGAGCUUGCUCUCUCUGCCAAACAAAGUGAAUUAGGCUGCAUUAGCGGCCAUGCUUCCCUGUGGUCCUCAGGGCAGGGCUUCAGGCCUGCACAUGGCCAUUUUGUUGUGGGUGGUGGUCCCCCCCUUUUUAAUGGCAUACUAAUUAGCAUCGUUUUCCAGCAUGGGGCCAUUUGUAGUUGGCAAGCACUGAGCAAGUGCUUCUAACUCCAGGACGGGAUUCAUGCAAAGCACCUCCCUUGGCGCUUCUGUCCUGGCUGUGAUGGGUGUUCCUGUGCGUGUGUGUCUAUGACAUUACACAUAAUGAGGCCUGGGAAUAGAAACGAGAGGACGGGAUCUGGAGAAACAGCUCUGUGACUGGUGACUCGGCAUGCUAACUGCACGUGUGGCCUUUCUCCAGGGUUCCCACACACAAACAAUCCCACACAAAAAGAGUCUCCCUACCAGGGCCCUGGAUUGAAGAUCUAUGAGUUUUUAACACCUGCACAGUUCCUUUAGCCAGGAAGCUGCGGCCACUUUAUUGGCAUUGUCCCUUAACUCGCAUAUUUGCACCUAGGAGCAGUGAAAGAAAAGGCAUUCCUAUUCCUGAAGACCAGGGGAGAAACAGAGAGAGAGGCCCAGCCAGUCACUCAAUCCACAACAGAAAGCAGCACUUCCUAUGGAAAGGCUUCCUCUGGGGACUCUGCAGAUGCUGUGUGGGGCCACUGCCCUGAGUGGUGAUAAUGAGGCCCUGGGGUUUGCAGGGAGCGUUGCUAAGUCUUUGAACUGACCUGGAAAAAUGGUUGUUUUUCUAUUCCUAUACUCGUCCCAACAUUUUUCCUGCCUUGCCUUUAAAGGCCUCUGCUUAUUUCAUCAUCAGCACUCGUUCUCUCAACUGCUGCCAAAUGUCAUUGCAUCUCUGGCACGUUCCCUGAUCCUGAAGGAUGAGGAAGCCUAUUUCCCAUGCCGCGUGCUCAUAUAUCUAUGCUGUGUCUGCGAUGCCAGAUGAGAGGAAUUUGUCCCACGUCCAUGUCUCAUCAUCCAGCCCCUGCAAAGCUCCCUGGAGAGGGACGAUCCAGCUCAGCAGACACUGAGGGAGACUCAGGCCACUGUCAGCAGAGAGCAGACCAUCUUACGUGACCUGCUUCUGGCCUCAGGGAGGGAAGACUGUGGGGUAAGAGCAAUAGCUUUUCCUUCCCAUCGGGGACCAAUUAAGGUGUGAGUUUGGAGACGCUGGGCUCACUAAGGCUCAGUUCCAGAGCAAUGUAAGAAUAUACCAGAGCUUCCCUUCCAGCAAAAUGACCAGUGAUGAAAGUGGUGAGGUACGGGGUAUAGAGGAGGAGCAAGAGCUGUGAACGUUUAAAUCCCUUCAAAAUGUUGUCUAUCUAGCAGAAAUUCAUGGACAGCACACUCAACGAGGAAGCCAGACCCCAUUCCUGGAAUACAUUUUUUGCAGAGACACUGCACCUGGAUGCAUCUUGGGCUCUGUCUUCCAUAUGGGCAGUGGAGGGUGAGUUCUGCUCGGCUGGGUUGUGAUCAUACAGUCAGGUCUUACAUGAGUAGUGGAGGGCGAGUUCUGCUCGGUUGGGUUGUGUUCAUACAGUCAGGUCUUACAUGAGUAGUGGAGGGCGAGUUCUGCUCGGUUGGGUUGUGAUCAUACAGUCAGGUCUUACAUGAGUAGUGGAGGGCGAGUUCUGCUCGGUUGGGUUGUGUUCAUACACAGUCAGGUCUUACAUGAGUAGUGGAGGGCGAGUUCUGCUCGGUUGGGUUGUGUUCAUACACAGUCAGGUCUUACAUGAGUAGUGGAGGGCGAGUUCUGCUCGGUUGGGUUGUGUUCAUACACAGUCAGGUCUUACAUGAGUAGUGGAGGGCGAGUUCUGCUCGGUUGGGUUGUGAUCAUACAGUCAGGUCUUACAUGAGUAGUGGAGGGCGAGUUCUGCUCGGUUGGGUUGUGAUCAUACAGAGUCAUGUCUU